GGAGGGUUCGCCUAAGUGGUAGGGCAGCGGUCUUGAAAACCGCCGGGCUAACGCCCAUGAGGGUUCGAGUCCCUCACCCUCCG
RNAcentral lists this transfer RNA (83 nucleotides) under Pseudomonadota bacterium. RNAcentral's name for it is "tRNA-Ser". It matches the Rfam family "tRNA". Rfam says of the family: Transfer RNA (tRNA) molecules are approximately 80 nucleotides in length. Their secondary structure includes four short double-helical elements and three loops (D, anti-codon, and T loops). RNAcentral also lists the same sequence under 1 other name. Lineage: Bacteria; Pseudomonadati; Pseudomonadota. The record is from RNAcentral.